RNAcentral lists this ribosomal RNA (1510 nucleotides) under Kuhlia mugil (barred flagtail). RNAcentral's name for it is "partial 16S ribosomal RNA". It matches the Rfam family "Bacterial large subunit ribosomal RNA", at positions 252 to 2592 of the family's 2925-position model. The record is from RNAcentral. Lineage: Eukaryota; Metazoa; Chordata; Actinopteri; Centrarchiformes; Kuhliidae.
CGCUAAACAGCUAGCCCCACCCACCAAAAACAACAAAUAAAUAUAAAUAACCCCAAAUACACCAACAUUACCAUUAAACAAACCAUUUUUCCUCCCUAGUAUAGGCGAUAGAAAAGGACCUGUUGGAGCAAUAGAGAAAGUACCGCAAGGGAACGCUGAAAGAGAAAUGAAACAACCCAUUACAAGCAUAAAAAAGCAGAGAUUUAAACUCGUACCUUUUGCAUCAUGAUUUAGCCAGAACCCCUCAAGCAAAGAGACCUUUAGUUUGACCCCCCGAAACUAGGUGAGCUACUCCAAGACAGCCUGUAAUAGGGCAAACCCGUCCCUGUGGCAAAAGGGUGGGAAGAGCUUCGAGUAGGGAUGACAGAUCUAUCGAACCUAGUUAUAGCUGGUUGCCUGAGAAUUGGAUAGAAGUUCAGCCUCUCGGUUUUUCCUGUCCCCUAAUUUAAUUUUACUUGACACAAAGAGAAACCAAGAGAGUUAGUCAAAGGGGGUACAGCUCCUUUGAAACAAGACACAACUUUACCAGGAGGGUAAAGAUCAUAAUAACAUAAGGAAAAAUGUUCUGGUGGGCCUAAAAGCAGCCACCCCGAUAGAUAGCGUUAAAGCUCGUACACAUUCCUAAUCCUUCAAUUCCGAUAAUUCAAUCUUAACCCCCUAAUCCUACCAGGCCGUCCCAUGCAAACAUGGGAGCGAUUAUGCUAAUAUGAGUAACAAGAGAGCCUAACGUCUCUCUCCCUGCACACGUGUAAGUCGAAAUGGACCCCCCAUCGACCUUUAACGGCCCCAAACAAAGAGGGAACUGGACUACAAAUCAAACAACAAGAAAAACCCCCAACCCACAACCGUUAACCCUACACUGGUGUGCUUCAAGGAAAGACUAAAAGAAAAAGAAGGAACUCGGCAAAUACAUGAGGCCUCGCCUGUUUACCAAAAACAUCGCCUCUUGCAAAACUUAAGAAUAAGAGGUCCCGCCUGCCCUGUGACUAUAUGUUUAACGGCCGCGGUAUCCUGACCGUGCGAAGGUAGCGUAAUCACUUGUCUUUUAAAUGGAGACCUGUAUGAAUGGCAUAACGAGGGCUUAACUGUCUCCUUUUUCCAGUCAAUGAAAUUGAUCUCUCCGUGCAGAAGCGGGGAUAAAAACAUAAGACGAGAAGACCCUAUGGAGCUUUAGACACUAAGGUAGAUCGUGUUAAGCACCCCCUGACAAAGGGCCAAACCCUAUGAAUCCUACCCUAAUGUCUUUGGUUGGGGCGACCGCAGGGAAAUAAAAAACCCCCGCGUGGAACGGGAGUACUCUCCUCCUACUACCAAGAGCUACCGCUCUAAUAAACAGAAUCUCUGACCCAUUAGAUCCGGCAACGCCGAUUAACGAACCAAGUUACCCUAGGGAUAACAGCGCAAUCCUCUUUUAGAGCCCAUAUCGACAAGAGGGUUUACGACCUCGAUGUUGGAUCAGGACAUCCUAAUGGUGCAGCCGCUAUUAAGGGUUCGUUUGUCAACGAUUAAA